UCUAUCAUAGGCGUAUAAUAUCUAUUGUAAUAUCCUUCUACUACUAUCUUCAUUAAUACAUAUAUUUUCAUUUUAUGUUAAGGCUCUUCUUAAGAAUAACUUCUCUUUGUUAUAUGUUAAGGUUAAUUGUGUAUGUUCUAUAUUAUAUGGUUUUACUUGUUCUAGUCACUUUUAUUCCUAAUAUUAUAUCUGCUUUUUGCAUUUCUUCCUUUACUUUGAAUUCUAUUUUUAUUUUUCUAACUCCUAUUAUUAUUUCUUUUUCUGCUAUAUUUUUACUAUUUAUUAAACUUCUUGGUAGAUCUGGGCACAUAUCAUUAUCAGUAAUGACUCACAACAACUAAUUAGAAGUGAUAUAGUAAAAUUACUAUAAAAAAUACUUGCGACAAUUUUUAAAUGGUCAUAACAAUUAAUUAAGAGUGAUAUAGUAAAAUCACGAUUGAAACAAUGAAGUAGACAUGUCUAAUUAGAAGUGAUAUAACAAAAUUACUACACAAAAAUACUUGGAUGAGUCAGCUAAAGUAGACAUGUCAUAAAUAUCUAUUUUACCUUUUUAUUAAAUAUUAUUAAUUUUUUAAUAUAUAAAUAAAUUUAUAAUAAUUAAUUAGAGAUAAUAUAAUAAAAUCACGGAAAAAGAAUGUUAACACCGAACAACGAAUUGCACGUGCACUACUAUAUUGGAUUCUAGCUAGACACUCAUGAAAUGACAAAAAUACCCCUCAAUUAGCAAGUAAAUUUCAAGGAAGCACACAUGCUGAUGGCGUGUUGUGUGCUUUCUUCUAAUUCUUUCUUAUUAGAUAUACUAGUUACUAAUAACCCGUGCAAGGCAAGGCCCAACAAAUUUUUUUAAAAAUUUAUUUUAGUUAUUGUGAUUUAUAGUAUUUUCUAAAAAUAUAUAACAUAUUAUUUUUUUUAGAUAUUUUAAGUUUUUAACUAUUGUAAUUUAUAAUACGUUUUAUGUAAUUUUCAAAUACUUAGAUGAUCAUAAUAAUUAAUUAUGGGUGAUAUAGUAAAGCUACGAGUGAAUCAGCGAAGCAGACACGUCUUAAUGACUCACAACAACUAAUUAGAAGCGAUACAAUAAAAUUACUAUAGAAAAGGGCAAAAUUUAGAAAUAGCAUACUUAUCUCCUUAAUUAUGAGUUUCAUAGCAACAGUUUCAUAAUUACAUAAUAUAACAAGUUGUAUUUUGUAUUUUUACAAAUUAUUGCUACAAAAAUACAAAUACAUAUGAUUUUGAAUGCCCUUAUGAUCGAUAUGGAUUUUNNNNNNNNNNNNNNNNNNNNNNNNNNNNNNNNNNNNNNNNNNNNNNNNNNNNNNNNNNNNNNNNNNNNNNNNNNNNNNNNNNGUUGCUAUUUUUUGUAAUUUAAUACUUAAGUAUGCUACUUUAUGUAUUUUUUUCUAAAAAGUACCUGUGAAAAAGUUUAAAUGGUUAUAAUAAUUAAUUAGAAGUGACAUAAUAAAAUCACGAUUGAAACAGCGAAGCAAACAUAUCUAAUUAGAAGUGAUACAACAAAAUUAUUACACAAAAAUAUUGGGUGAAACAGUUGAAACAGACAUGUCAUAAAUAUCUAUUUUAUUUUUUAAUAAAUAUUAUUAAUUUUCUAAUACAUAAAUAACUAUAAUAAUUAAUUAGAGAUGAUAUAAUAAAAUCAUGGAAGAAGCAGCUUAUGAAGCAGGCAGGAUCAUAGAUAUCUAUUUUUCUUUUUUUUAUUAAAUAUUAUUAAUUUUUUAAUAUAUAAAUAACUUAUAAUAAUUAAUUAGAGAUCGCAUAAUUAAAGUCGCGAUGAAGCAGGCAGGAGAAGUAAGCAUGUUGACGGAGAGCUGCCUUAUUCUCCUACCUUUUGCUUCUUAUUAGAUAGUAAUAAAUCACUUAUAAUAAUUAAUUAGAAAUCACAUAAUUAAAAUCACGGAAGAAGCAGCUGAUGAUGCAGGCAGGAGAAGCAGGCAUGUUGACGGAGAACUGCCUUAACACAUGGAAUGAAGAAAUAAUAUUUAUGCAUUUGGAUAUGGUCGUGAUCUAUGAAUUGGAAAGAAAAUGUUUCAGAGUAGUGAAAAGUGUUGUGUUUAAUCGUUAUGGAAUUUACUCGAAAAACUUGUUGUUUUAGGAAGCAUAUAGGUCCUUCCCUCUAUGGCUCUAUGUAUUUAUCCCAUUUAUGUUACAUUGCAAAGGAUUCAUCUUCAAAUACGUAUCACUGGAUUAUAAAAAGAAAAAUACUAUUAUUAAUUUUGGGUAUUCUCAAUCAAUAACAAAUCAAAACAACCAAAAUCAAGAAUUAAAGGUAUAAGUUUUUUUUUUUUAAAUUUCUCGUAAACUUUAGAUCAUCAAAACAAACUGAGUUAAAACCUUCUAACUAAAGUUUGGUAACCUCAUUCUCGUUAAGGUUUCAAAUCUACACUCGAUCAUUAACUUGAAACUGAUUCAUUUGCAUGAAGUUUUUUCUAUCCAGAUGUGAAAACUCGUGUAUGAUCCUUGUUAUUUGUUGUUUUUUUUUUAACAAAGAGAGCCGACCUUGAUUAACAUAUGACCAUGUUAAUUUCUUCUCAACCAAUAUAUUUUCUUGGGCAUUCAGCUCCUCCAAUUCCUCUUCUUGGACCUCCACUUAAUGCCCUUGUUCUUGAUAAUUCAGUAAAGAAAAAAUGAGAUAUCUUUUUGUUUUUUAAUUCUAAUUAUCUCGCUAAUCAUUUUUACUUUCUUAAUAAAAUUAGUUCUAUAAUCAAAUUUUAAUAUGAGGCAUUAAAUAUAAACACAUAACAAAAUUAUUAUUAAUAAUUUAGAGCUAUUUUUAUUAUUUUUAUAUACUAUUUUUUUAAUGUAAUAUUCUUCGAAGAUAUUAGACAUUUAACUUGACGUAGUAAUAUUACUAUAUAUAAAAGGAAGAAUUAGUUUUAAUUAAUAAGAUGCUAGUCAUUUGCUUAUAAUGCAUUACCUUGAAUAUUAUUGUAAAAACUUUAUUUAUUAAUAUGAAGACUUGAGUUAUUUAAUUCAAAGUUUUAAAAUAUUUAAUGAAAAGUAGAUAGUUCUUCUUUCCCUUCUAAUUUAAAAUUUUAUUCUUCUAUGUUUUAUAAUCUUUCAUAUUAUUUAACUGAAAUUAAAAUCAUACUCCCUCCGUUUAAAAAAGAAUGACCUACUUUUCUUUUUAGUUUAUUUCAAAAUGAAUGCGCCCUUCCUUUUUUGAUAAUAUUUUAAUUUCAACUUUACACGUGACAUGUUAUGAUAGACGAACUAUCUAUUUUACCUUUUUAUUAAAUAUUAUUAAUUUUCUAAUACAUAAGUAACUUAUAAUAAUUAAUUAGAGAUGAUAUAAUAAAAUCACAAAAAAAUAACUUAUGAAACAGGCAGGAUCAUAAAUAUCUAUUUUACUUUUUUUUAUUAAAUAUUAUUAAUUUUUAAUAUAUAAAUAACUUAUAAUAAUUAACUAGAUAUCACAUAAUUAAAAUCACGAUGAAGUAGGUAAGAGAAACAGAUAUAUUGAUGGAAAACUGCCUAUUUUUCUGCCUUUUGCCUCUUAUUAGAUAGUAAAAAUUUGUGUAUCUUCUUAAAUACGUACAACAGGGAAGAAUAGGCUUUUAGGAAAAAGACAAAAUUAUGUGGAAACAAAAGAGAGAACAACCUAGCGAUUUAUAUCCAUCCUUUGAAGUGGCAACUCAACCAAAAUUUGAAAGAAAAACCAUGUGGCAGUCAUGAAAACUCCGUUGACAAUCCUCUUGUAACAGGAUUUAUUCUUUUGAAUUCUUUGUAUGAACUAUAGUUUUUAGAUUUUUGGAAAAUAUAUUUUAUAAACAUAAAAUAUAAGAAGAAGAACACAAGAUGAAGACUUGAUAAUAUGAACAUUGAAUACAAAAUUUGAGGCUUGAAAUACGUGCAAAAUGCUUCUGUAAAAAUGAUAUUUGAUCUCUCUCCUCUGCGAGAUUGUUAUGAGAUUAUACACAAAUAGUUUAAUGAAUAUCACAAGCCUAUUGAAUUCUGCAUUAGAAAAAUAGUGAAGAGAUUCUUCAAGAAAGCAAAAACUUAAAAUUUUUUGAGAAGAAAGAAUUUCUUGAGAAAAGAUAUAAGAAAAGUUCUCUGUAAAAGUUGUAAGAAGCUUCUCUUAAAAGUUAUGUUGAAAUCACAAGAUAUUUGAUUUAAAAGAACAUGCAAAAAUCAAAGAUGAAAAGAAAAAAUUCAUUGAAGAGACAAAUUCAAAAGAUACACCCUUUUAUUUAAAAAACAUAUUUUCAUAAUACUUUUAUUUAUUUUAUUUAAAUAAAAAUCCAACACGUGUGUCUACAUGUAUAUAUGUCAUUUUAAAGACUAGCUCGAUAGGGCAAUGAUAGAGGGACAAGUCAAUAAUCUUGCUGAACUAUGGACUCACCCUUGUUGGUUUUUGUUCUUUGUAGAUGCUUCUACUAUUGUGGUUAUUAAUUAGGUUUGAUCAUGUUUGGAGCUUUAUUGGAGUUCAAUUAAGGUGGUUCAACCAUAUUGAUCGUGAUGCCACUUCAUGCUAACUAGAUGUUUUCUUUCUGCCGAUAUGUAUUGGGUUCUAAUAAAAUUUACAUAUUCAGAAUUUAAUAGUACUCCUUGACAUUUUAUUUGGGUACGGGUGACUUCUUAGGCAUGUAAUGUUAAAUAUUUGUUAUUUUAAUAUUUUAACCAUCGAUUUAAUCACUUGCAUUUCAAUUACUAGUUUACUUCGAUGAGAAAUCUAUAUAUAAUAUAAAGAGAGUUAUAAGUAAGAUGAUGUAGCACCUUUUUUGGCCAAGGAUCUUAUUUAUCUUUUUUCUUAUUCUUUUUAAAAAUUUUUUCAUUCAUUUUUUUAAUUAAUCAAUUUAUUUACUAAUUAAAACACUAUCAUAUUUAUUACAAUAAUUAUAUGUAAUGAGUUACAGAAACAUCAACCUAUUAACAUUCUCAACUUAAAUUAUGUCUCUUCAACUUCUAUUUACUUAAUUCAUAUAGUUAACUAGUCAUUCUAUAAAUAACAAUCACCUGUGAAAUUGUUAAAUGCUAAUUUUCAUUUUCUGCUUCUUCUUUAUUUACUUUUUCUUCUUAUAAUAUAAUUAUGAUGAUUAUUACAGUAGUAUCUUUUGAUAAUGUGAUACAUAUUUUCGUUUGUUUGUUACCAGGAUUGGUGGGCAUGAACAUGGGGAGCAAAGUCAUGGUAUAAUCUUUUUAUUGAUUUAAUUUUAGAAUAGCUGAAGGUUGGUUAUUGAAAUUUUUAUGUUUAAUGCAAAAUUAUUUCUAUUCCCACUUCUUUUUGAUUGUGAUAAGUCCACAAGUUCAAAUUCAGGUAAGAUUUCAUGAUUACGAUAAGAAAAAUUGAUUAAAAAAAUUUAAUACUAAAAAUCUUAAAAAUAGUCGUGGAAGUUAAUCACGAAAAUCAUUUUUUUAAAUUUUAGUGAUGACUAAGAAGAUAUAUUAUAAAGUUUACCAAUAAAUAAAUAUUAUAUAUAUCACCUUGAAAAAGUCAAGUCAUUCAUAUAUCCUAAAAAAAAUGCUACUUACAAGUUAUAAAAUUAUUGUCAAUAACACUAAUUAUUAUUAUGUUAAAUAAUUCUAUAAAUAAUAAUUAAUUACCUAUUAAAUUAUUGAAUAUUCAUUUUCAUUUUCUAAUUCUUCUUUAUUUACUUUUUUAUUCUUAGUAUUUAUUGUCAUUUUUCAUUUCAUUUUGAAGAGUUUAGAUGUUUUAAAUCAUUUAAGCUUUAUUAAUAUAUUUAUAAAUAAUAUUGAAUUUGAUUGGGAAGGUAAAUAAGACUACAUCAUAUAUUUUAAUUUUAUAAAGCGUUAAUUAACUCUGCCACUCAAGCACUUUACAAAAUCACAAAUAUCUUGUUUUCAUUUUUAUACAUACAAAGACAAAAAUUAUAAUAAUUUUAAUAAAAUACUCUAAACAUCCUGUUCAUGGUUCUUUUUCCCUCCCCUUUCAUGAGUUUUUAUUAAUGUGUGUUAUGUCUCAAAAAUAAGAGAAAAAAAGAUUUUUAUUU
Molecule: long non-coding RNA, 5960 nt
Filed under: Capsicum annuum
Lineage: Eukaryota; Viridiplantae; Streptophyta; Magnoliopsida; Solanales; Solanaceae
Description: long non-coding RNA (CANN_LNC019616)
Source: RNAcentral